GCCUGAGUAAUAAGAAGUCUUGCCUGCGAGUGACUAAUUAACGGCCGCGGUAUUUUGACCGUGCGAAGGUAGCGCAAUCACUUGUCUUUUAAUGAGACCUGUAUGAUGGUGUACGAGGCUUACUGUCUCUCCUUCGAGUCAAUGAAUUGAUCUGCCCGUGCAGAAGCGGACAUAAAAUACAGACGAGAGACCCUUUGAGCUUAAGAUACAAGAUCAACUAUGUCAGACCAAAAGUAAACUAAAUAGCAACUGAUCCCUAUCUUCGGUUGUGCGUCCGGGGUAUAAACAAGUUCCAGCGGUAUGGGCACCGCGACACCAGAAUGAAUUCCAUUCAGAUUCGAGCUUAUUCGCAGCAGAUACGACAGUACUGAACCGUUCUCUCGAGCCAUGAGAGUUCACCAUGUGACGACCAUGGGACCUAUUUGUGUUCUAUAUAGCCAUU
Molecule: ribosomal RNA, 442 nt
Filed under: Clarias gariepinus (North African catfish)
Lineage: Eukaryota; Metazoa; Chordata; Actinopteri; Siluriformes; Clariidae
Description: partial large subunit ribosomal RNA
Source: RNAcentral